This 443-nucleotide ribosomal RNA is filed under the name uncultured bacterium. RNAcentral describes it as "partial 16S ribosomal RNA". It matches the Rfam family "Bacterial small subunit ribosomal RNA", at positions 338 to 795 of the family's 1533-position model. The record is from RNAcentral.
CCUACGGGGGGCUGCAGUGGGGAAUCUUGCACAAUGGGCGCAAGCCUGACCCAGCAACGCCGCGUUAAGGAAGAAGGCUUUCGGGUUGUAAACUUCUUUUCUCAGGGACGAAGAAAGUGACGAUACCGGAGGAAUAAGCCACUGAUAACUACGUGACAGCAGCCGCGGUAAUACGGAGGUGGCAAGCGUUAGCCGGAUUUACUGGGUGUAAAGGAGGUGUAGGUGGUACUGUAAGGCAGUUGUGAAAACCACGGGCUGAACCUGUGGACUGCAUUUGAAACUGUAGGUCUUGAGUAUAGGAGAGGGAGACGGAAGUCCCGGUGUAGCGGUGAAAUGCGUAGAUAUUGGGAGGAACACCAGUGGCGAAGGCGGUCUGCUGGACAGUAACUGACGCUGAGGCGCGAAAGCGUGGGGAGCAAACAGGAUUAGAUACCCCGGUAGUC